This 514-nucleotide ribosomal RNA is filed under the name Salmonella enterica subsp. enterica serovar Muenchen. RNAcentral's name for it is "bacterial SSU rRNA". It matches the Rfam family "Bacterial small subunit ribosomal RNA", at positions 1029 to 1533 of the family's 1533-position model. Lineage: Bacteria; Pseudomonadati; Pseudomonadota; Gammaproteobacteria; Enterobacterales; Enterobacteriaceae. RNAcentral also lists the same sequence under 9 other names. The record is from RNAcentral.
GUGAGACAGGUGCUGCAUGGCUGUCGUCAGCUCGUGUUGUGAAAUGUUGGGUUAAGUCCCGCAACGAGCGCAACCCUUAUCCUUUGUUGCCAGCGAUUAGGUCGGGAACUCAAAGGAGACUGCCAGUGAUAAACUGGAGGAAGGUGGGGAUGACGUCAAGUCAUCAUGGCCCUUACGACCAGGGCUACACACGUGCUACAAUGGCGCAUACAAAGAGAAGCGACCUCGCGAGAGCAAGCGGACCUCAUAAAGUGCGUCGUAGUCCGGAUUGGAGUCUGCAACUCGACUCCAUGAAGUCGGAAUCGCUAGUAAUCGUGGAUCAGAAUGCCACGGUGAAUACGUUCCCGGGCCUUGUACACACCGCCCGUCACACCAUGGGAGUGGGUUGCAAAAGAAGUAGGUAGCUUAACCUUCGGGAGGGCGCUUACCACUUUGUGAUUCAUGACUGGGGUGAAGUCGUAACAAGGUAACCGUAGGGGAACCUGCGGUUGGAUCACCUCCUUACCUUAAAGAA